GACGCCUACGGGGCGCAGCAGUGGGGAAUAUUGCACAAUGGGGGAAACCCUGAUGCAGCGACGCCGCGUGAGUGAAGAAGUAUUUCGGUAUGUAAAGCUCUAUCAGCAGGGAAGAAAAUGACGGUACCUGACUAAGAAGCCCCGGCUAACUACGUGCCAGCAGCCGCGGUAAUACGUAGGGGGCAAGCGUUAUCCGGAUUUACUGGGUGUAAAGGGAGCGUAGACGGAGAAGCAAGUCUGAAGUGAAAGCCCGUGGCUUAACCACGGGACUGCUUUGGAAACUGUUUGACUAG
Molecule: ribosomal RNA, 293 nt
Filed under: uncultured bacterium
Lineage: Bacteria
Description: partial 16S ribosomal RNA
Rfam family: Bacterial small subunit ribosomal RNA
Source: RNAcentral